GAUGAAGAACGCAGCGAAAUGCGAUACGUAAUGUGAAUUGCAAAUUCAGUGAAUCAUCGAGUCUUUGAACGCACAUUGCGCCCCCUGGUAUUCCGGGGGGCAUGCCUGUCCGAGCGUCAUUGCUGCCCUCAAGCACGGCUUGUGUGUUGGGCCCCGUCCUCCGAUUCCGGGGGACGGGCCCGAAAGGCAGCGGCGGCACCGCGUCCGGUCCUCGAGCGUAUGGGGCUUUGUCACCCGCUCUGUAGGCCCGGCCGGCGCUUGCCGAUCAACCCAAAUUUUUAUCCAGGUUGACCUCGGAUCAGGUAGGGAUACCCGCUGAACUUAAGCAUAUCGAUAAGCGGAGGA
Molecule: unclassified non-coding RNA, 345 nt
Filed under: soil metagenome
Description: partial contains 5.8S ribosomal RNA, internal transcribed spacer 2, and large subunit ribosomal RNA
Rfam family: 5.8S ribosomal RNA (bases 1-119)
Source: RNAcentral